CCUUUUCUAUAAAAAAUUAGUAAUAAUAGAGUAAUAAUAGCCCCUACAUCCUAGGGGCCUUAGAAGAAACAAAUGACUUGAUAAUUGUAAUGGCUUAGCAUGGUACCUGGUAUAAAGUAAGCACUAUAUAAAUGUUAGCCAAUAUUAUUAUUUUACUUUUUCACUUGAUAGUCUCAUCAGUUCUAAUCAAUUCAUCUUUGCACACAUGGAUCCUGUAAAAUGGAAUUCUUUUUCUGUUUUCAUUUAAUGGGGGACCUGGAGGUCCUCUUACUGUAGAGAUGUGUAGGGAUUAACCAGCCCACGGUGACAGGAAGUAGAAACCAUAGGGACAGGAAAGAGAAACCAUAGAGAUAGGAAGAAGAAAUCAUAGAGACAGGAAGUGAAGUAGAAUAAACGGAGAAAAAGUGGAUCAUGGCCAGAUAGGACGAGGAAAUGGAUCUCAUUUUGAUGGCACUCAGCAGAAAGCACAUACCAUCAAUCAUGCCGUGUAGCCCGGCAUUUUCCUGUCCUACUUGUCUCAUGCAUUUCAGCACCAUGUGCAGUCUGUGCGUCCUUUGUUUGAAUUCGACAACAGGCAGCAGCCCUCGCUUAACAACUACCUUCUCUCACAUGCCAAGCACCGACUGGACCAAAGCCAGAUAUCUUUUAAUUUGUUUGCCUCUGGGUCCAUGCCAACUGACCCUCACUGGCAGACCCCUGUCACGAAGGCUGAGCAGUCAGAAAAAGUCGGCCCCUGACGUAUUUUGAAGACAUCCAAAAUACAAUACCAGCUGUUGGUUCCACAAAGGCAUUCCAAGAUUCCUAAUGUUUUGCUUUAUAGUUUAAGUCUUUCUUUGUGCUUUGGUACAAAUAAAGCCUUUACACUCAAGCUCGCUUUCUGUUUC
This 884-nucleotide long non-coding RNA is filed under the name Monodelphis domestica (gray short-tailed opossum). Its description in RNAcentral is "lncRNA (ENSMODG00000031430.2)". The record is from RNAcentral. Lineage: Eukaryota; Metazoa; Chordata; Mammalia; Didelphimorphia; Didelphidae.